Molecule: long non-coding RNA, 263 nt
Filed under: Homo sapiens (human)
Lineage: Eukaryota; Metazoa; Chordata; Mammalia; Primates; Hominidae
Description: non-protein coding lnc-MMD-1:2
Source: RNAcentral
CUAACAAGGGACCACGCCCUCCUCUACCCUGCACUUCCCUUCCCCGGUUUCCUAUUAUUUAAAGAGACCAGGGUCUUCCCUUCCCAGCACUCCCAUAUUAAUUCCACGCAAGUGGAAGUCACCAACAGCUACACCAGCAUUGUCAGAAGGAAUAUUAAUUAAACUGCUGUCGCUGCAGAUUGUGACUGGGGGCCUGUUUGCUUGGAUGUAGGAACAAUUGGAGAAACUGACACUGGUGGUCAGCUGCUAAUGACCCUUCCGCU